RNAcentral lists this ribosomal RNA (392 nucleotides) under uncultured bacterium. Its description in RNAcentral is "bacterial SSU rRNA". It matches the Rfam family "Bacterial small subunit ribosomal RNA", at positions 28 to 416 of the family's 1533-position model. The record is from RNAcentral.
GACGAACGCUGGCGGCGUGCCUAACACAUGCAAGUCGAGCGGGGUCCAUCCAGUGGCAACACUGGGGAAGACCUAGCGGCGAACGGGUGAGUAACACGUGAGAAACCUGCCCUGAAGUCUGGGAUAACCCGAGGAAACUCGAGCUAAUACCGGAUGCCCCCACGAGUCGCAUGGCUUGGUGAGGAAAGAUUCAUCGCUUCAGGAGGGUCUCGCGGCCUAUCAGCUAGUUGGCGGGUAACGGCCCACCAAGGCAUCGACGGGUAGCUGGUCUGAGAGGACGAUCAGCCACACUGGGACUGAGACACGGCCCAGACUCCUACGGGAGGCAGCAGUGGGAAUAUUGCGCAAUGGGCGAAAGCCUGACGCAGCAACGCCGCGUGCGGAUGACGGCC